RNAcentral lists this ribosomal RNA (404 nucleotides) under uncultured bacterium. RNAcentral describes it as "bacterial SSU rRNA". It matches the Rfam family "Bacterial small subunit ribosomal RNA", at positions 355 to 774 of the family's 1533-position model. The record is from RNAcentral.
UGGGGAAUAUUGGGCAAUGGGGGAAACCCUGACCCAGCGACGCCGCGUGAGGGAUGAAGGUUUUCGGAUUGUAAACCUCUGUCUUCAGGGACGAAAAAAUGACGGUACCAAAGGAGGAAGCCCCGGCUAACUACGUGCCAGCAGCCGCGGUAAUACGUAGGGGGCGAGCGUUGUCCGGAUUUACUGGGCGUAAAGGGUACGUAGGCUGCAUCAUAAGUCGGGCGUGAAAGGCAGGGGCUCAACCCCUGGAGUGCGCUUGAUACUGUGAUGCUAGAGUCAUGGAGGGGGAACCGGAACUCUCGGUGUAGCAGUGAAAUGCGUAGAUAUCGAGAAGAACACUCGUGGCGAAGGCGGGUUCCUGGACAUGUACUGACGCUGAGGUACGAAGGCUAGGGGAGCGAAAG